RNAcentral lists this small RNA (4966 nucleotides) under Rattus norvegicus (Norway rat). RNAcentral's name for it is "uncharacterized LOC102548908". Lineage: Eukaryota; Metazoa; Chordata; Mammalia; Rodentia; Muridae. The record is from RNAcentral.
UAUGAAAAGAUUAAAACAGCGUGCUGCGAUCUCACCACCCAAAGGUUAGGCAAUUCAAAAGCCAAGAGCAGACGUGCGCUUAUUGAAAGGCCUUGGGGGAAACCAUCAAUAGUUCUGGAAAGUUUGGCUGCCCGUUCAAAGGCCUGUUUUAUGCUCUGCGUCAGCCCCACCUGGAUCAAUAUGUCCCGUACGCCAGCCAGCACAUUCGCCUCUUGUUUAAUUUGCCAUUUAUAAGUUCGGUGGGUCCGGUGCAUCUAAGCAAUUAUAAUGCAGGGAAUAAAUAAGCACGGCGGCCAAUCAAACUGGAUUUGCGGCACAAUUAGACAUCAAGUACCCACAGAGCCGGGCAUUGCAUUCCACUCACAGAUGAGAAUACAAAUGUUUGCUGGUACAUCAAAUGCGGUCUCUUCUCACUCCUGAAUAUAAAUGGCUCCUGGAUCGAUCUUUGAGGCAGGCUCCUAGGAGAGGGAAAGAGCAAGGCUCCGCUUUGUAAGCCUGAAGUCCUGAAGAGAGAGGGUGUAAGGCAGAUGUCCCUAAUUUUAUAAAGCACCCUGACCGAAAGCAAUUUACCGGAGGAGAAGGUUUAUUUGGAUUCCACGUCAUGGUCUAUCAUGAAGAGGAGGUCAAGUCAGGAACUCAAAGCGACUAUAAUAUCCACAGUCAAGAGCAGAGAAAAGCGGAUGAACCCGUGUUGUAUGUCUCCCAGAGUGUCACCCAGCCAGCUUUCUCCAGAGUCCAGUCUUGAGAACGGGUUCCACAGUGAGCCUGGUUGAUGAACGGUCAAGACAAUCCCUAACAGACAUGUCUACAGACCAAUCUGACUACAUAGUUCCUCAACUGAGACUCUUCUCAGGUGACCCUUGGUUGUGACAAAUUGACAGUUGAAACUGUCACAACAGCCUUGCAGAGUACCAAAUACAACUGUCUCUCCCAAGUCAUUUGUAGGUUAUGGGAAGUGACUGCACCUCGCUUGUUGUCUGUAAAUCUGGAGCAAAGCAGAUGUUUUCACAAGGAGUCCGAGAAACAAAUAGUUUAAAGGGAUAAUGGUGCCAACCGUACAAACUCAGUAUAUCAGCUAUUUCCAAACCUGUAGUUUUAGAGUGCUGGAAUUCCAGGUCAAGAAGGAAAUGACCAGGACUGGGGCCAAGCUUAGUGGGAGAACUGGGCUGUAUGUGAUCUCCAUCAAGACAAAACAAAGUGGACAUGUGCACCAAUGGCCUUUAGCCUCCAAGCUUCUUCCUCUGACUUCCGUUGAGCAUUCUUCAUGAGUACAUGGGCCCGGAGCAGGCAGUAGAAGCUCUACCAACCCAAGGAGAGCAGCUUUCCCUGGUCUAAAGAUUGGCUGCUCACAGACCACAGGUCAACCCUCCUAUGACAAAGCCUGACUGAUGAAGGAGUUCAUCGCUGAAGAAGAGACUCAGAAAGGAAAUCGAGCCAGGGAGAAGAUGAUCUUUCUGUGCCCUCUGGACUCCGUCAUCCUGGAUAUGGUACUUGUCUUGCAACCAGGACGAAGAUGAAACCGACUUUGAGGAUGAAGGAAGGAGCAGGGUGGCUGGUCUCUACUUCCAUAGACUGUAGGGGAAAACUCCUGCAGGUGGACAAAGGUCCCCAAAACUUCUCUCCAGGACCCUCGUGUUUCCUGUCAACAUGCUCAUUCAAUCAUCACUGAACGCCCAAGAGUUAUUCCACAAGAAUUGUCACUGGGCGUCGACUCUGCAAUACAAAUGACUGGUGGGUGACCUUGAAUCUAGACUGCAGCCUCUCAGCAGACAUGCGCCCUUAGAGAAAUUACCUACAUUCUUUGUGACUCAGGUUUCUCACUUUAAAAAUGAGGGCUACGGCAUGAGGACCUGUGAGAGAUCGGUAUUGGCUCAGUACCCUAAGACCAAGUUCUCUCCACAAAGGAGAUUUCUUUGCCCCAGGGGGACAGAGGACAGGUGAUACGAGGCAAAGAAAUAUGGAGGACAAGGGCGAGGGACCAAGGGUGGGAUGAAGGACUGUCUCUCGCUAGGGAGGAUACAGAUGUGCCCUAUAGGCUAAUGGUAGUUUAUAAAGGUAAAGGGGGAACCCUGUGUUAAGAUGAGGUGUUUAAUUUUAAUUGGACAUGUUAACUUGUUAGAGGAAUUGCUGAAGGAAGAGCCCAGACUCAACUAAUACGCAAAGGUAAGGACGGUUCAUUCUGUAAAAAUUACCAGCACUCAGGGGUCAACCAUUCAUCUAAAUGGUGACAACUUGAGGGUCUUGUAGGCCUGCUUUUAUGCAGGACUAGGGGAGUUUUCCAGGACUAGGUAACCUCUAAUAUGAUUGGUAGGAGCAAAGCAGUAACAUUAGUACACUUUCUUUUGAUUGGCUAUUUGGUGAGACCAUGAAGAGUUUUAGUGACCAGCUCUGUUCUGGCCUUGUUAUCUUCUCUAGUCGUGUACCCAGAAGACUGUCUCAGCUCUGGAACUAUCCUCCCAUGUUCAGGUUGACUGAAGGCUCAUUGUGAGCCAAAGGGGGCUUUUGAUAGUUGAAUUUCAGUACCUUGAUAGCUAGACCUUGGUAGCCAGCCUCAGGAAGAGGAAGUAACCAAAUAAAGGAAUAAACCUUCAUGACUAGAAAUGUAAUCUAAUAGGUUUUUUUUUUUUCAAGGCAGAGGGAAUUGGGGAGAAGGUCAAGGCCCUCCGUGUUCACCAAGUCCCUUCAGAACCUGAGUCUGAGUCCCAGAACCCACAUAAAAAGAUAGGUACAGUAGUGGAAUAUUGUAAUCCCAGAGCUAGGAAAACGGGCAAGGGGAUCUCUGAGGCUGACUGGCCCAGUGAGUUGUCAGUCCCAGAGUUUAGUGAGUAGACAUGCCUCAACAAAUAAAAAGCAACAACAACAACAAAACAAAACAAAACAAAACUGAGGACGAAUGGCCCCUGCAGAAUGAGACCCAAGGUUGAGUUCUGGCAUCGGCAUGUGUGUACAUGUAUGUACAGACACACACACACACAAGCAUGCAUGCACAAUGUGAAAAAUAAAAUUAAAGCUAUCCUAUAAUCCCCUGGUUUUCCUAAUAUACUAUUCUCUCACUUUGGUGACAGGUGCAAUAAAUAAUGUAUUCAGGUAGUUUUAGAGAAUCAAUUUAUUUCCAGGCACUUGUAUAGAAUCUAAUCAAUAUUUAUACUUAUUCAAACGGCUUUCUUCUUCUUUUUUCAUUAAGGAAGGUUUUGCUUUCUUCUUACGCCUGUUUGACCUUGUAGAAAAUAACAAAUUCUUUUCUAGUAGCACCAAAGGGAACAAAACCAAGCCAAGGAGAUUGUUGACCCUAACCCUCUCACUAAUUAGGGAGUGUAUGGGGAAAUAAGUCCUCAUUACACCUCCCGUUUCAACUAGUUCUUUACAGUUGACUAUAGCUCAGAAAAUUGGAUUAUGAGCUACGCUUGGCAUCUUUAGCCAGAAGGCCUGCCAUUCUGUCAGCAAUAUUUAUCAGACUAGAGCUGGUGACUGUAAAUUCCCAAGGUAAUUAGAAACAAGCAAACAGAAAACAAAAAUACAAAACCAAACCACUGGUUUUAGAGACAUUGUUUCUCAUUGGAAUGAAUAUUACCCAUGAUUAUCUCCUUAGCUGUACGCUUCAUCUAGGAGAGAGAAAUCACCCAAAUUUCACUUGAAGAGUUUUGUCAGGUGUUGUACGACACGAUUUCUGGGGAGACCAGAACACACCUCUUCUUAAGCUCAGACAGGCGACAGUGACAGACCGAAGCGAGGAUAUUGCCAAAGUGUAACUUGGCGAGGGGGUUCUUAUAGGAAUAUCGGUGAGGGCUACAGGAACAGAAACAAUUCAAGGACUGUUACAUCACUAAAAUCUGGAAUGGGUGACAGACCACUCAUGAAAACAGGAAGCCUGGAUCUCACUGCAUGGUUGGGAGGCAGCUAGACAGAGUGGAGUCUCUUCCAGACCCCUCAGCUGGUCUGAGUGUCUCCUAGAAAGGCAGCUCUCCUUGUCUGAGGGUCUCUCAGCCAUUCCUACAGUUUAUAUAAAUGUGGGGAUGAAGGAGCCUGAUGCUUCUGGUCAGGUUCAAGGACCCCUGGAUCCUUUGAGUUGUUUACUGUCCCGGUUUUAAAGACCAUCCUUCAGGAGACAGUGCUUCACUUUCCUUUAGCAGAUCCUAGGUCCUAAGGACCUUCACUUUAAGGUGGAAACUCUUAUCUCAGAGGAGAUUGCUAUGCAACACUAGAAAUGACCUUUGAGGGUCGAAGCCCAGGGGACUAAGGGACUAGAUUAGCCAUGUGAUGUGGGGGAGGAGAACCCAUGAACUUUCUGGACUUUUAUUUACCCAGAUCGCUGAUGGAUGACUCUGGUGAGCAUGGAGUUGGUACCCGAUAUGAAGAGAUGCUGUCCUCCUAUCUUGUGCUCACAGUGUGCUAGGUCCCAGGGAAGCUGUGACGAAGGAGUCUUGCCGGUCAAAGGCCAGCACAGGCCAGUGUGCUCAGCUCAUGCUCAGCUCUGAAGCACAAGCUAGUCCUGGAGUUCAUGUUCUUUAUCUCCAGUGUGGAAUCCUGCUCAUUACUUCAACUCCACCAAUAGCGACUUUCCCUUUGUCUGAGCUCUAAUUCCUCUAGAGGGCUCCUAAACACAGCACGUGAGAGGUCUUGUAAAUGCACGGACUCUGGGGCUGGGGACAAGCAUGAGGACCUGAAUUCAGUCCACAGAACUCAUGUAAAGAGACUGCUUGGGUGGCAUGUUCUGUAAUCCCAAUGGUGGGGAGGUGGCAAUGGAUCCUUGGGGAUCACUGGCUAGUCAAUGUAGCUUACUCUAAAACCCACAGACCAAUGAGAAUAAAACCACCUUAAACAUAAAGAACCAGCCAUCUUAAGAAGAAAACAAAAAACCAAACAAGGUGGGGAGCACUCGAGGUGAGAAACCAAGGUUGUCUUCUGACCUCCAUGCACAUGAACAGAUGUUCCCAUGCACUGCUGUGCACACAUGUGCAUCGACACA